Molecule: long non-coding RNA, 1542 nt
Organism: Zophobas morio
Lineage: Eukaryota; Metazoa; Arthropoda; Insecta; Coleoptera; Tenebrionidae
Exons: 4
Source: RefSeq, a predicted model, not a curated record
CUGCCGCUUGAGUGGUUUAAUUAAAUUUUCCUUAGUUUAUGGUCAUCUUUCUUAGUGUUUAGUAGUGAGUCACAUAGUUAGACAGAUAUUCCCAUAUACAUUCAGUGUUUGUUUAUGUACAUACCACCUAGUCGUGCAGUCACAAUGAACCCAGGUGAUAACAGGCUGAUUUUGCAAAACAACCCUUAUUGACAUUGGAAUCCUCAACCGCCAAAGGCAAGCGCCAAAUUUAAAUAGUCGAUACCAAUAAAAGCCUUGUUUCACUAUAAUUGUAAUUCGUGUGACUUGAAUGAAAAUGAAGGAAACAGUAAGCAGCUUGUAAUAUUCUGGUAAAUCUAGUGUCAAUUUGUCGAAAUUAAUUUUAUUUCUAGUUAGAAACAAACACUGCUGCCAACAUAAAUUGAGGAGUCCUCAACCGUUAUUUGAUUUAAACUAUGACGCUUCUCUAUGUUCUCUGGUUAUACGGUUCUUAAACUUAGAGAACUUGCACGGACAAAAUUGAGCUGGGCGAAGACCUGUGCUAUACAUGCCUGUACAUACUUUAUACACACGCUCAAUCAUUUUGGUUUGGAAAAUAUUGCACAAGCUGCAUAACUGACAUUCAGUCGCGUCUCAAAUUGGUCAAAUGGUUAAAAUGCGUCCGCAAAAUUCUCCAACAGACAGUCAAUCAAGCUUGUACAAAAAGUUUGUACAUAUAUGCUUGUCAAGCUUUUUGUUACGUGUGCAUCCUCCUACCACUAACCAUUCAAUCUGUUUUGGUCAAUACUCUUUCUUAAAUAAUUUUUCAAGUAUUUAAAUAAUGAAAAUGAUCGUUCGGUAGUAGUAUGCACAGUUAUGCUCACAUAAAUUCCGUACAAUCUUAUUUUUACGUUGUGUGGUGUGGAAAUCAAUACAAAAUCAAUAGCAUAGAUACAAAAUCAGAUUGUCAUCUAAUUAUUAGCGAUUAUUUGAGCAUGACUGUACUUGUUUUCAUGGAAAAAUUACAAAAAUUUUUGGUAAACUUUUUAUGUUGAGAAAAAAAUGUUUCAUUACUAGAAUACGAAUCUUUUCGCAACAGCAGAGCAAUAAACUUGUGCACAUUUCAUGACCAGUAUUGGUUCGGGCGAGUUCAAUUUAAGAGUGGUGAAAAGCAUGGGGCGAAAUUUUUAUAAAUAAUUGAGAUAUGUAUUAUAAUUCAGCUUUAAUUUCGGCUGACAGAAUUGGCGUCAUAAGGAAACAUCUUGCAUUGUAUAAAUUAUUGUUAUGUGCAAUUAAUACUUAAGGGUUUAGGCAUUUUCUUGUACUUUUCUUAUCUUAUUAUAAUAUAGUUAUCCUCAUUUAAUGGCCACAAUAAAGACAUACAAUUUGAUAGUGUUAAAGUAAAAAUUAAUGAUAAUAUCCCAGUUAAAACUUCGCGGGAUAUAUGAGAACAAAUAGAGAUAUUGAAAUUUUGUAAACUCCCAGGACUACCACCAUUUUACGACAGUUUGAACACAUCCUAAAAUAACUGCUUUUGAAAUGGACCUUGUUGGUUCUAAAAUAAAGUAUGAAUGCUUUAUUUCA